This 253-nucleotide ribosomal RNA is filed under the name uncultured bacterium. RNAcentral describes it as "partial 16S ribosomal RNA". It matches the Rfam family "Bacterial small subunit ribosomal RNA", at positions 524 to 776 of the family's 1533-position model. The record is from RNAcentral.
CACGUAGGGCGCGAGCGUUGUCCGGAAUUAUUGGGCGUAAAGAGCUCGUAGGUGGUUUGCUGCGUCCGCUGUGAAAACCCAAGGCUUAACCUUGGGCUUGCAGUGGAUACGGGCAGACUAGAGGUAGGUAGGGGAGAAUGGAAUUCCCGGUGUAGCGGUGAAAUGCGCAGAUAUCGGGAGGAACACCGGUGGCGAAGGCGGUUCUCUGGGCCUUACCUGACACUGAGGAGCGAAAGCGUGGGGAGCGAACAGG